UACAGAGGGUGCGAGCGUUAAUCGGAAUUACUGGGCGUAAAGGGCGCGUAGGCGGUCAUGAACGUGUGUUGUGAAAGCCCCGAGCUUAACUUGGGAAGAGCAACGCAAACGAUGUGACUGGAGUAGAUGAGAGGGUGGCGGAAUUUCCGGUGUAGCGGUGAAAUGCGUAGAGAUCGGAAGGAACGUCGACGGCGAAGGCAGCCACCUGGCAUCAUACUGACGCUGAAGCGCGAAAGCGUGGGUAGCGAACAGG
RNAcentral lists this ribosomal RNA (253 nucleotides) under uncultured bacterium. RNAcentral's name for it is "partial 16S ribosomal RNA". It matches the Rfam family "Bacterial small subunit ribosomal RNA", at positions 524 to 776 of the family's 1533-position model. The record is from RNAcentral.